Molecule: long non-coding RNA, 2914 nt
Organism: Carassius carassius (crucian carp)
Lineage: Eukaryota; Metazoa; Chordata; Actinopteri; Cypriniformes; Cyprinidae
Exons: 3
Source: RefSeq, a predicted model, not a curated record
CUGCACUUCCCUUUGUCCCGCAGAUUUGUUUUUUUGCCUCCUGGUUGAGCUUUCUAGCGUGACACUAAUAAGUUCAUAGCAUCAUAUAUGCGGCUUAGCAGGGUGCAGGGGGCAUAUCCUAACAAAUGUGCGGAGUCAAUUGGUUUCCCAAGGGGACGCUACUGAGAAGCUGGCUCACCAAGUCCCGACCCAGACUGCUGCUGCUCAUCGCUGGCUUGAAGAGGCCUCAAGUCACCCUCAUGCGCAGAAAAAGGAUGAAGCGCACGAAAGUAGCAAAGGCCACGUAAGCGAACCUGUAGUCGUAUGCUGCAUUUCACUUGACUCACUGACACAGAGAGAAGCUCCAUCUGCCGUUGAUAUGAAUGCUGAUCCAGAAACAGAGAAAGCCUCUCAGUCAUCUCUGCCAAACAUACGAACUAAACAUCAAAGCAGAAGCGGCUCAGAGUUUGUUGUGAAAAUGAUGGAUCUACCACAAAGAUCCAGACCCCCUGACUAAGAUCCAGAGCCUCUCAGUGACAUUUGUUCAUCUUUCUCUUAAAUACACUUCUGUCAUGCUUCAGUUCACUACACAGCGUGUGACAGGACAUUAUUGCUAUUGCCUUUGGUUGACAGUGCUUUCCUUUCCUGUGUUCCUGUGUUCAGAGACAAUCCUCUGGUCAGGAUUUCAGGGACUUUUAUUUUUUGAUUCCUAAUGAUGCGUGUGGGUGAAAAAUAUGAAGAAAAUAAUGAAAAACAGAAAAAAAACUCAUAAUUGCCAUGAGUUAGUAACCAACAGCACACCAGUGUUUUUUUCAUACAUUUUUCAUAUAUAAAAUAUAUGAUAGUUAUAUCAUUCCAAAUGGACCAUUAUGUGGUCCCAUUAUAAUUUAACCAAAACAAUUAUCAUAGUCACAUUAUUAUUUUUAUUUAAAAAAAAUUAUUAAUUAAUUCAUUGAAGAAAAUCAAGCAGCUAUUUGACAACGUAUAACUAAUAGGUUAUUAUUGAACACGUCCACAAAAACUGCAUUAAUAAUUGUUAGGUGAAUCUCAUGAAGCAUGUCAAGUCUGGCACAAAAUCCAUGGUAGAAAUAAGAAAUUAUUUUUUGCAUUAAGAAAACUAUCAUAUUUUAGGACCAUUAGUAGUUUUGUUUACAUAUUUUACAACACAUUUUCCACCAAAAUAGUCAUUACUAAAAGGAUUUUCUUCCCCUCAAUAGUUAUUCUCAUUACAUUCUCAUUAUUAUCGUACACUAAUAAAAUUCUGCUUGUCUGGGCACAUUAUAUAAAAACAAAAGUUAUCAAGUAUAAAUACACUUUAUUUUGAAUCAUUUUAAUCGAAUUACAUUUUCUUUUUGCAAAAAUAUAAUUCAUAUAUUUUAUGAAUGGUUUUAUAAUUUUUUUUUUUUUUUUUUUUACAAAUUAUGUUAACUGGUUUCUUGUUUCAUCUGAAUUUGAGGUGAAAUAUUAUUCAAACAUGUCUUAACGAGAUUCGCCCACACAAUACGAUGACUCAAAACAUAUGCUUGCACAGUUUGAAACUUAUUUUCUCUUUUGAACAAUUCUGUCUUUUGUGUUCAUACUGUCCUCUAUCUCUAGCUACUAUGUCAAAGCAGAUACACAGAUUUGUUUGAAGAAUCACAUAAAUUUCAGAGCAUUUUAAGAUUUUUUUCAGUAAUUCUUUGAAUAAACAAGGUAACACUUUAUAUUAAGUCAUCCCAUUUGUCCUUUGUUACAUAUUUGUAGUAAUAACAUAUGAAGUAGUGAUCACACAAUUCUAAACCAAAAAUACAAACAUUUCUAAUAUAUAUUUAUAAAUAUACAAAUAUACAGACAAAGCAAACAACUGACAUCAGCUCUUUUAUAAUAUUUGUUUAAUUAAUUAUUCAUUAAAUUAUUAAAAACUAAGCACUUAAUAUAAAGUGAGACCAUCAUGUGGCAUUACGUAAAAACCUAAGCCCUGAGGAUGAUUUAUGGGAAUUUUUCUAUUGUAUAACACUAAUUACACACACACACACACACACACACACACACCGUCUUGCGUUGUCUUUAGUUGUCGUUUUUGCAGUGCUAGUUUGAAUCAGUUUUCAUGAUAUUUAAUCUAUUUUCUAGUUUCUCAUUUGCUUUUUUCAUUCGACUGAUUUCCUUUCAAGCAUUGAAUAUGAAACCCAUUAAGGAAGAUGCAAAGAAAUCCUGCGGGAUAAGAAAGUAAACAUGAGCAGGUUCGACUUACUGCACAAUUCACCCAUUCUGUGUCCUAACCAGAUGUGAAGCAACAAGUGUCUUCUGUUAUUCGAUCUGUCUGCACUCAAACAUGACACACUCACAUACAGUCAGAUGAUAUUUGACAUAUAAUAUUUAGUUAUAUGGGCCAAUGAGAGUAGCUUUAUCACAGCAGGUCUGGUUAGGACACCGUGCAAAAGGUUUAGCUUCAGAGGUUACGUGAUUUCAGAUGGGCGAGUGUUUGGGAUGUUAUUUUGCGGUGAGUUUCUGCUGGAUGAGCUUGUAUCUGUUGAGCUGCUGCUCAGAGACGGAUGACUGAAGGCCUGCCAGAGCCUGUCUGAAGUCUUCUGAACACAGAGUCAGAGCGCACGCCUCUGAAUCCACACUUGCAUCACAGACACAGAGAUGAAGAAAGAGUGAAGGCAAGUAGUGCAGACAUUGAGAAAGAAGCAGAGAGACUGACAGAGUCAGGCCAGAAACAUCCUCUACUCAACACACAUAAGAACGCUCGACCAACACAUUGCCACAGCACAGGUUUACAAUGAGGGGAAAUGACUGUGUAGCGUUACUUGUGUAGAGUUUGUUUUUAGGCUCAGAGUGAGUAGCUGGAAUAUGGACACAUGGGUUUCAUGCAUAAAAUGUACUGUUCUAUUCUUCUUGGUUUAAACAUGUCUCUAUCCUCUAAACUUUAAACAAUAAAUAUCUCAGGUGUAGA